GACGAACGCUGGCGGCGUGCCUAAUACAUGCAAGUAGAACGCUGAAGGAGGAGCUUGCUUCUCUGGAUGAGUUGCCAACGGGUGAGUAACGCGUAGGUAACCUGCCUGGUAGCGGGGGAUAACUAUUGGAAACGAUAGCUAAUACCGCAUAAUAGCAGUUGUUGCAUGACAACUGUUUGAAAGGUGCAAUUGCACCACUACCAGAUGGACCUGCGUUGUAUUAGCUAGUUGGUGGGGUAACGGCUCACCAAGGCGACGAUACAUAGCCGACCUGAGAGGGGGAUUGGCCCAACGGGGACGUGGACAAGGCCCAAACCCCUAAGGGGGGCAGCAGUAGGGAAUCUUCGGCAAUGGACGGAAGGCUGAACGAGCAACGCCGCGUGAGUGAAGAAGGGUUUCGGAUCGUAAAGCUCUGUUGUAAGAGAAGAACGAGUGUGAGAGUGGAAAGUUCACACUGUGACGGUAUCUUACCAGAAAGGGACGGCUAACUACGUG
This 495-nucleotide ribosomal RNA is filed under the name uncultured bacterium. RNAcentral describes it as "partial 16S ribosomal RNA". It matches the Rfam family "Bacterial small subunit ribosomal RNA", at positions 28 to 507 of the family's 1533-position model. The record is from RNAcentral.